Molecule: long non-coding RNA, 356 nt
Organism: Danaus plexippus (monarch butterfly)
Lineage: Eukaryota; Metazoa; Arthropoda; Insecta; Lepidoptera; Nymphalidae
Exons: 3
Source: RefSeq, a predicted model, not a curated record
CUGUGACGAUCUAGAGCUAACAUGUACUCACAUGUCAUGUUUCAGUUAUUAAAUCAAUAUCAAUCAAACAGCAAGCACCUACACUCGAAUAAAAGUCAAUAGCUUUUUUUUGGGAUUUUUUGUAUGAAGCAGUUAAAUUUUAUAGAUGUUUGUAUUGUAUUAUUUAUCAAAUGAAUGUUCUAUUUUCGUUGUAGUUGCAAGACCUCCAUAAAUCGCCACAUCGCUGCAGACAUGAAGGAAAAAGGCUGAAAGGAAGGCGUUCACAAAUAAAAAUGUAACAAGUGUAAUGACACCCGCCUCCUCAUUGUGAAAGCGGGCAAUACCCCAAGAAUGGUCUCAUUAUUAUAGAAAUAGAA